This 324-nucleotide ribosomal RNA is filed under the name uncultured eukaryote. RNAcentral's name for it is "partial 18S ribosomal RNA". It matches the Rfam family "Eukaryotic small subunit ribosomal RNA", at positions 1470 to 1796 of the family's 1831-position model. The record is from RNAcentral.
CCCUUAGAUGUUCUGGGCUGCACGCGCGCUACACUGAUGCGAUCAACAAGUUUUUCCUAUGUCGAUAGACACGGGUAAUCUUUUGAACUCGCAUCGUGAUGGGGAUAGAUUAUUGUAAUUAUUAAUCUUCAACGAGGAAUUCCUAGUAGGUGCAAAUCAUCAGUUUGCAUCGAUUACGUCCCUGUCCUUUGUACACACCGCCCGUCGCUGCUACCGAUUGGUUGAUCUGGUGAAUUAUUCGGACUGCCGGCUGAAGGGGUUUCCUCAUCUGCCAGCGGAAAGUCUUGUUAACCCUAUCAACUAGAGGAAGCAGAAGUCGUAACA